UCUGCUGAUAAACAUUUACAUGGUGACAAG
Molecule: non-coding RNA, 30 nt
Filed under: Homo sapiens (human)
Lineage: Eukaryota; Metazoa; Chordata; Mammalia; Primates; Hominidae
Source: RNAcentral